This 409-nucleotide ribosomal RNA is filed under the name Bacillota bacterium. RNAcentral describes it as "Firmicutes bacterium partial 16S ribosomal RNA". It matches the Rfam family "Bacterial small subunit ribosomal RNA", at positions 355 to 776 of the family's 1533-position model. The record is from RNAcentral. Lineage: Bacteria; Bacillati; Bacillota.
UGGGGAAUAUUGCACAAUGGGCGCAAGCCUGAUGCAGCAACGCCGCGUGCGGGAUGACGGCCUUCGGGUUGUAAACCGCUUUCAGUUCCGACGAAGCGCAAGUGACGGUAGGAACAGAAGAAGGACCGGCCAACUACGUGCCAGCAGCCGCGGUGAUACGUAGGGUCCGAGCGUUGUCCGGAAUUAUUGGGCGUAAAGGGCUUGUAGGCGGUUUGUUGCGUCGGAAGUGAAAACUCAGGGCUUAACCCUGAGCCUGCUUCCGAUACGGGCAAACUAGAGGGAUGCAGGGGAGAAUGGAAUUCCUGGUGGAGCGGUGGAAUGCGCAGAUAUCAGGAGGAACACCGGUGGCGAAGGCGGUUCUCUGGGCAUUUCCUGACGCUGAGAAGCGAAAGCGUGGGGAGCAAACAGG